This 438-nucleotide ribosomal RNA is filed under the name uncultured bacterium. RNAcentral describes it as "partial 16S ribosomal RNA". It matches the Rfam family "Bacterial small subunit ribosomal RNA", at positions 339 to 795 of the family's 1533-position model. The record is from RNAcentral.
CUACGGGGGGCUCCAGUGAGGAAUAUUGCACAAUGGGGGGAACCCUGAUGCAGCAACGCCGCGUGGAGGAUGACGCAUUUCGGUGUGUAAACUCCUUUUAUAUGUCAAGAAAAUGACGGUAGCAUAUGAAUAAGCACCGGCUAACUCCGUGCCAGCAGCCGCGGUAAUACGGAGGGUGCAAGCGUUACUCGGAAUCACUGGGCGUAAAGGACGCGUAGGCGGGUUGGAAAGUCAGGUGUGAAAUCCUACAGCUUAACUGUAGAACUGCACUUGAAACUUCUAAUCUAGAGUAUGGGAGGGGAGAUGGAAUUAGUGGUGGAGGGGUAAAAUCCGUAGAUAUCACUAGGAAUACCUAAAGCGAAGGCGAUCUCCUGGAACAUUACUGACGCUAAGGCGUGAAAGCGUGGGGAGCAAACAGGAUUAGAUACCCGUGUAGUC